Small nucleolar RNA from Monodelphis domestica (gray short-tailed opossum), 131 nucleotides. Lineage: Eukaryota; Metazoa; Chordata; Mammalia; Didelphimorphia; Didelphidae. The record is from Ensembl.
ACCGAGACUUAGAGUCACAUCUAGGCAUUGCCUGUUGUCGUGGUGUGCUAAAGUCCUCGAAAAGUAACAGCUAACUCUAUUCACUGGCUGGUCAUCUUGUGAUCCACUCAGUCACCGGGUUAGGAAUAAAA